AAAGAUUGCUCCAGUUUUCUGUUUAGUUUCCAUAGUCAGCAAAUCACUCCUCAGCUUCUAUCCUUCCUUGAAGUAUAUCCGCUUCUGAGCUCUUUCCACGUGUAAACUCUGAUAGAUCUUGACUAUGUAAACUCUGAUCAGACUUUAUUAAACUCUGUCAGACUUUGCUAAACUCUGAUCAGCUUCUAGCUUAAACUCUGAUGAUUCCUGUUCUAAAACAAACUUUAAGAACAUUAGUAAUCAUCAAUUAUAUCUAACAUAUUAAACUAUAUAAUAAAUUAUAUAAACUCUAUUUUAUUUCCACUUCUGUUCCUCGCCAUCUUAUCAGGUAGGAUUUAGGAAUGCUUGAGCUUAGUUUUCAGUGGUACUGAUUGACCACACAGGUCAUACAAUAUGGUUGUUCUAGGUAAUUUUAUUAGGUUCCUAACUCUAGGUUUGUUCCACAAAAAUUCAUAUAAUACAAAUAGUCAAUUUCUUUCACUUUUGUUUUCAGAAUUUCUUGAUUUGAAUACUUAGGGCCUUAUUCUUUAUAUUUUUCUUCUAAAAGAUUUAUCUUCAUUUGCUCAAUCAGUUGAUUUCAAUAAUACAUGAUCACAACAGUUCCCAAUGAGCUAUUAUAUGUAUUAAGGGUCUAUAUGACAAAAAUAUAGGUGAUUUUUUUUUAAUGCACUUUUACACCCCCACUAUUUUCGUUCAAAAAAGGAUGUGUCCCAGAACGUUAUAAAAUGCAAAUUACAACCCAUAAUUUUGGCCCACACAAUCAUUUUGGAUCCCUUCCAUUAAAUUUCUGUUUAAGGUGAUUGUAACUAUAAAAACAUGAGGGUAUUUUAGACUUUUAAAUUCGAAUGAAAAAAAUUAUAUAUAUAAACAUAUUUAUGAUAAAAAAAUUCCCCCAAUACACACUGGAUAAUCAGCACUUUACAUGAUUUAAAAAAAAAUAUAUGUUAAUAUAUAUUUUUAUCUUUAAGCUUUAAAAGUCUAACAUAAAAAUAAAACAAGUAAUUACAUAUAACACAAAAUAUAUAAUUAUAAUGUCUUAAUGAUAAAAUAUCUAAAUUAAAUUUGAUAUAGCUUUUUAAUAUAUAUUUAAAGAUCAUGCCAAAAAUUUCAAUUAAUUCAUAUAACUUUGAAGUUUCAAAAUUAUUUAAUUUUAAUAAAUAAAUUACAGAAAUUCCCAUUUUUCCCCAUUUAACGAAAAAUUAACAAAAGGGGUGCUAAAUGACUUCGUUGGUGAAAGUUAUGGGAUGCAAUUUGCAUUUUUUAAACUUCUGCUACACAUUGAUUUUUGAACGAAAAUUGUGAGGCGCAAAAUGCAAUUACGUCAGAAGAAUAUGUUAUAUGACGUGAAAUAGUACAACCCCUAAUCUCAGAUGCUCACAAACAAAAGGCCCUCUUGACAAUCUCCGACCAAUAAUUAACCUACUCUAAUUAUCCACAUAUCCGCUGACCAACGAACAUUGGCUUAUUAAGGCAAAAACAAUCAAUUGUCUCCAAAUUCCUUUGCCUCAGUUUCAAUGAACUAAGAGAAUCCAUAUUUCCUUUGAUUUUUUGCACAUGUAAGAUUCAACUUCUUAUGUUUGAUCAGGCUCAGACUAGAUUAAUGGCAUGUGAAAAAUGGAUUAGGAAUACCCAAUGGAGGAUCUUAUGAUAUCAUGCCUAAAAAAUUAUGGGAGUUUGGCUCAAAGGGGCUAAAAUCCGGAUAAUAACUUGUAAAGGGUCUGCGAACGAAUGUGGAUCCUGUUAUGGUAGGAUUUUGACUCCAUUCAUGUUGCCACAACCUACUUAAGUAUUCUUUUAGAGCCUGUUUGGGUGAGUUUAAAAUAAUGACUUAUGACUUAAAAUGACUUUAUAUGAUAAGUAAGGAAUAAUUUUAAGUUAGUAUUUAUUUUGGGGUAACUUUUUAUAUUAUGGGGCACUUAUCAUUUAUUAAAAAAGUAAAUAAAUAAUAAGUUCAUCGAUUGUUCAUUUGAAUGAUGAUAUAAACUUUUUUUCAUUCAAAAUUAUAAAAAUAAAGUAAGAUUUUCGAAAAAAUACAAUCUACCAAUUUCUAGCUUUAAGUUGUUUUUCUAAUUUUAAGUCACUUGACUUUUUAAACAAGAGACAGCUAAAGUCAAAAUUCAGUAUCAGCCCACAGCUUCAUGCGUAGCCAAACAGGCUCUUAGUGGGGAUAUUUUUGCUUAAAAUUCCUCUUUCCUCUUCUGGAUUAGAUUUGAAGGUUGUCGCCAUAUUUCAAUGAAUUUAUGAAGUUGCUGAAACAUGGGAUUGACUAAACUAGAAUUUCUCUAUUUCAACAACUCUAGUGAAAUGUCCAUACUUCACGUCGCAGGGAAGUAUAAUGUACACUACAAGCUUCCUUUCCUUUCCAUAUAGUAUAUUAAGUAAACAUGACUAAAAUACCCUUACACAUUAACUACAUUAUUUUGUUGGACACAAAAUUGGUUCAGAUGUGUAAGGCAAUAUUGGGGUGGGGGGAGAGGGGGAUUACAAUCUACUCUUAAAAGGAAAACAAAACUUUUCUCAGAGUUCAUCAAAAGAAGUUGAGUCUAAAGAUUAACACAUAGUGGUAUAAAAUUUGUUCCACGGCAUUAAACAAUAGCAAAGCCAAGAAUAUGUGAUUCGGAUAGUUUCAUUUGUUAUUGUUUUGAAACAUUUGCAAGUAAGAUAACUGGUUGUACGAAUUUGUAAGAUCUUACUCUAAUUGUCACGUUUUAACAAUGAUUUAUAUACAAAAGACAGACGCAUUCCAGACUAUAUAACUCACAUAAGGGCCAGAGCCCAGAGGUCUGCUUGAGUUUUGAAUUUGUCAAUUAUUAUCAUGAAAAUGUGAACUGCAAACUACAAGUAAAAAGUUUGAUAUGCAAUCUGCAAAUCAGAUCAACCUAAUAAAUGUCGUGAAUAUAACUCAAUCAAGAGCAAGAGCAACUGAAGGAAAAGAGCAAGGAAAUACUGUGUGCACAUCUGGCAAACAAGCAGCUCCAAAAUGCUAGCGGAUUGCGUCCAACCACAGAUACAUAGUAUUGAGUAGUUAAUUUUCGUGAAACAAAGGCAAUAACACCCUAAACAUGGUUAAGUGGCAUGAGAUGUAAAAUUCUAAUUUGCAACAGCAGGCAAAGCUGGCUAUUACACUUAAGUAUAAAAUUCCAGGGUCAUUUUAAUCCUAAUUUUUCAUAAUCCCAGCAUAAUCUCCUUCACUAGGGCAACGAAACAAUUUACUCAUCGUGUUUGAGAGAAGCUUCGAAUCAAUUUUAUGCUAGUGAAUUUAAGAGAAUCUAAGAACACGCAAAUUUACCGCAGGAUUGAAUACUGUCGAGUAAUAAUUUCCUAGUAUUCAAGAGCAGAGCAAAUAUGACAUGACAGUUUCUAUGUUGAAUUAAGAAUACAAAAUUGAGCAAAAAUUACGCAAAGAGCGAAAAAGAUACCAACAUUCUUGGCGUGGCUGAUGACCGGGAAGAUUCCAUCAGGGCAGGAGGCGAGGCUGUAUGUGUCACGCUUCUGGCCUGCUGCUUAUACCAACUCUCACCAUUUUUUGUGUCAACCGAGGACCAAGAGCCCGUUUGGCUGAGCAAUC
This 3568-nucleotide long non-coding RNA is filed under the name Daucus carota (carrot). Its description in RNAcentral is "long non-coding RNA (DCAR_LNC001783)". The record is from RNAcentral. Lineage: Eukaryota; Viridiplantae; Streptophyta; Magnoliopsida; Apiales; Apiaceae.